UACUGGCUACGGCGUCUCAAGAGGGACAAAGAGUACUAUUGCAGUUUUUCAAGAAAAGGUAUUUUAAGGGAGUAUGCGAGGCACAGACAUUCACUUCUCCUAGUGGAGAACUGUUAGGCUGCAAACGCAACCGAACGUUCAGCAGAGGCAUUUAGGCUGUAAACCCAACAGAACAUUCUGCAGAGGCAUUUAGGCUGCAAACCCAACAGAACAUUCUGCAGAGGCAUUUAGGCUGCAAACCCAACAGAACAUUCUGCAGAGGCAUUUAGGCUGAAAACCCAACAGAACAUUCUGCAGAGGCAUUUAGGCUGAAAACCCAACAGAACAUUUAGGCUGCAAACGCAACCGAACGUUCAGCAGAGGCAUUUAGGCUGCAAACGCAACAGAACAUUCUGCAGAGGCAUUUAGGCUGCAAGAAAAGAUGGCGCCUAAAGAUAGAGCAGUUGAACUCAUUCAUUUGGUGGGUGUUUAUAUUGGUCCUGUUUCCUAUUAGUCCUAUGUGGGUUUUUGGCACAUCCCAACUCUCCCUGAGACACCCUCGGAGAGUGGGGUCGCGACCCUGGAGCAAUUACGGCCUAUUUAUUGCCUUACCUCCUCACGCCAUUUGCACACACUGUAUAUAGACUUUUUCUAUUGUUUUAUUGACUGUACGUUUGUUUAUUCCAGGUGUAACUCUGUUGUUGUUGUUUGUGUCACACUGCUUUUGCUUUAUCUUGGACAGGUCCUAGUUGUAAAUGAGAACUUGUUCUCAACUGGCCUGCCUGGUUAAAUAAAGGUGUUCUCAACUGGCCUGCCUGGUUAAAUAAAGGUGAAAUAAAAAAUAAAGUCAAUAAAAAGUGCCGUGUGAUUUUUUUUUUUUUUUUUACCUCGUCGGUGGCUGGUCCCAAUGCCCUAACCGCUACGCUACGUGCCGCCCUAACCGCUAGGCUACGUGCCGCCCUAACCGCUAGGCUACGUGCCGCCCUAACCGCUAGGCUACGUGCCGCCCUAACCGCUAGGCUACG
Oncorhynchus tshawytscha (Chinook salmon) is the source of this 1004-nucleotide long non-coding RNA. Lineage: Eukaryota; Metazoa; Chordata; Actinopteri; Salmoniformes; Salmonidae. The record is from Ensembl.